UGGGGUUUCGAAGGGUCUUAACGUGAAAUUGCGAGCGUAAUGCCCUGUUAAACCCCACA
Molecule: microRNA precursor, 59 nt
Filed under: Xenoturbella bocki
Lineage: Eukaryota; Metazoa; Xenacoelomorpha; Xenoturbellidae
Description: Xbo-Mir-193-P2_pre stem-loop
Source: RNAcentral